UACGUAGGGGGCUAGCGUUGUCCGGAAUCAUUGGGCGUAAAGCGCGCGUAGGCGGCCAGAUAAGUCCGGUGUGAAAGCCACAGGCUCAACCUGUGAAUGCCGCUGGAAACUGUCGGGCUAGAGUCCGGAAGAGGAGAGUGGAAUUCCCGGUGUAGCGGUGAAAUGCGCAGAUAUCGGGAAGAACACCCGUGGCGAAGGCGGCUCUCUGGGACGGUACUGACGCUGAGACGCGAAAGCGUGGGGAGCGAACAGG
This 253-nucleotide ribosomal RNA is filed under the name uncultured bacterium. RNAcentral's name for it is "partial 16S ribosomal RNA". It matches the Rfam family "Bacterial small subunit ribosomal RNA", at positions 524 to 776 of the family's 1533-position model. The record is from RNAcentral.